CAAAAAAAACAAAACAACAACGACGACGACGACGACGACAACAGAACAACACCAAACAAACAAAAUCAGAGGCAGGGUUCACCCUUAAACCACGAGAUACAACAAAAGUCAUAGACUCAACCAGCGACGCACUCAGAGAGCACCUAGCCCUCUGAAAUCAAAUACAUUCUGGGUUACAACCAGCAGCUGCUGACACUACUUGAAGUGGCCAAUGAUGGCAAAUGGAGAGAGUGUGAUGUCAGACUGUUCAGAACUUGCCUUACUGGUUGGUGAUUGGUGAGUGAUGGUGAUUGCCUCAAACAACUGGCCUGUUUGUGUACUUUUAGAGGAAAGAGCAAUACUGUAGUGCAUACUCCGUCUCACCAUUACUUUUUCAUCAUAACAGAAAUCAAACGUUGAAGUUUUGGUUAUCUGUCAGUUUUUGCCGGAUGCUGUGCAUCUAAGUGGUGUUUGCCCAGGGUAAGAUGACUAUCCUGAGAUUGACAAUGUUAGAAUGUACUACCUCUAUGCUUUAUCGAUUUCAUUGGUAAUGUGCAGAGACAUAAAAAAAUUGCCUCUUAAUUGAAUCCAUGAUAGCAAAAUCAUGCUUUCAGUGCGUCGAAUUAUACCAUCCUUGGUUUCCAUAUCAGUCAAGAAUUCCAGUAGCCUAUGUGUUCAUAGUCCUCAAUCAGUGGUAGCUAAAUUCAUUCAUGGUUGUACAGAAGCAAACAUUGAUACCGUAGUCAAUUCCAUAUGUGGUUCAUUCAGGAAGGGCUGUAAUUGGGAGAUUCUGACUCAAAAUUUUGAUUCUGUUCACUUAAAUGAUUUGAUUGUUGAGAAGGUACUGCUGGAAUUAAAGGAACCAACUGAUGCAAAACGGGCUCUAGCUUUCUUCCAUUGGUCAGCACAAAGGAAAAAUUUUGAACAUGGGAAUUGGUCUUACUGUAUCACAAUUCAUAUUUUGGUUGAAGCACGACUGCUUACGGAUGCUCGAGCAUUGCUUGAAUCAGUUUUGAAAAAAAAUGCAGGGAGCCAUUUGAGAUUUUCAGUUGUGGAUUCUCUACUUAGCAGUUACAAGAUUACAGUUUCAACUCCAUUUGUGUUUGAUUUGUUAGUACAGGCUUAUGCUAAACUCUGAAUGUUUAAGAUUGCUUUUGAUGUCUGCCGCUAUUUGGAAGAACAUGGCUUCUCUUCAAGUCUUAUAAGUUUCAAUACUUUAAUUCACGUUGUUCAAAAAUCUGAUCAAGUCCCUCUAGUUUGGAAGAUUUAUGAGCAUAUGAUUCAAAAUAGAACGUAUCCAAAUGAAGUAACAAUCCAAACAAUGAUAAGUGCAUUGUGCAAGGAAGGGCAUUUGCAGAAAUAUGUCGACAUAUUGGACCAGAUUCAUGGUAAGAGAUGCUCUCCUUCAGUAAUUGUUAAUACCAGUUUGAUCUUAAAGAUUUUAGAGGAGGGAAGAAUUGAAGAUGGUAUGGUAUUAUUGAAGAGAGUGUUGCAAAAGAGUAUGAUUCUUGAUACAAUUGCUUAUUCACUAAUUAUUCAUGCUAAAGUAAAACUUGGGAAUUUGGAGUCAGCGUGGAAAGUGUAUGAAGAAAUGCUAAAUAGAGGUUUCCAAGCAAAUCCUUACAUCUAUACUUUGUUUAUAGGAGUCCAUUGUAAAGAGGGAAGAAUAGCAGAAGCACAUUGCCUAAUGAAGGAGAUGGAAGAUCUGGGUUUGAAGUCGUAUAGUGAAUGUUUUGAUCUUCUCAUUGAGGGGUGUGCUAAAGCAGGAAAAUUGGAAGAGAGUUUAAUGAAUUGUGAGAAAAUGUUGGAGAGGAGACUUGUUCCUGGUUGUUGGGCUUUCAAUGAGAUGGUAGGAAAGCUCAGUGAAAAUGGGAAUGUGGAGCAAGCCAAUGCAAUGUUAACUAUUUUGUUAGAUAAAGGAUUCCUGCCUGACGAGAUUACAUAUUCUCAUCUGAUUGAGCGUUAUAGCAAAAAAGGUGAGUUUCAUGAAGUUGUCAAACUCUACUAUGAAAUUGAAAACAGAUCACUGUCUCCUGGAUUAUUGGUCUAUAUGUCAAUGAUUAGGAGCCUUUGCCUGUCUGGGAAAGUGGAGGAAGCAGAAAAAUAUUUGAGGAUUAUGAAAGAACGUUCACUGGCCCCAACUACGUGCAUUUACGAGACAUUGAUUGCAAGCCACUCUAAAAAAGGUGAUAGAACAAGGGCUCUUCACCUUCAGGAUGAAAUGUUUUCACAAGGACUGAAGCCUAGUUGUUCGUAGCUUUCUGGUUAAAGUGCAGAGAACAUUGAAGACUAGUGUCCACUCAGGAUAAAGAGUAACUCCUAUUAACUUUAAAAAGCUUGCUCUAGCUAUUCUUAAACUAUACUGCUGACCUGGAUCCGAAUUGCACAAGCUCAAGUUGUUCAUGUAAGUACUACAGGUGGAAAGGAUCCCAUUAACAAAGAGAACGCUAAUAAACACAGGAAGGAUGGUUUUGGCAGUACCUGAUUGGACUUGUGCUGGCCACACACAAAUAGAUGAUUCUUGAGUCCAGAUAGGUGCUGAUCAUCUUAUAACUUUUUUCUCUUUUCUAGGAUCUCUAUGUCCAUGUAAUUCCUUGAUCAUAAUUUAGUGAAUUCAGUUUUGCAAGGCAAUGGAUCUUAUAAUCUAUUGGUGCUAAUCAUGCAAUUUGAUACUAAGAAAUGGUGAUCCUAUACUAAUUGAUUCAGUGGCCUGAAAAAGAAGAAGAAAUAAAACACGCUUUGGUUAUAUGUUUUUGUUAAUGCAGAAGUUUU
This is an RNA transcript of Quercus lobata, 2751 nucleotides long. It is a transcript of the gene named pentatricopeptide repeat-containing protein At1g66345, mitochondrial-like, with no coding region annotated. The record is from RefSeq and is a predicted model, not a curated record. The transcript is spliced from 3 exons. NCBI's taxonomy places the organism in Eukaryota, Viridiplantae, Streptophyta, Magnoliopsida, Fagales, Fagaceae.